This 815-nucleotide ribosomal RNA is filed under the name uncultured Planctomycetota bacterium. RNAcentral's name for it is "bacterial SSU rRNA". It matches the Rfam family "Bacterial small subunit ribosomal RNA", at positions 56 to 878 of the family's 1533-position model. The record is from RNAcentral. Lineage: Bacteria; Pseudomonadati; Planctomycetota.
UGCAGUCGACGAAUCCCAGGGGGGUAACUCCCUGGGGGAAGUGGCGAAAGGGGCAGUAAGGCGUGGGUAACUUGCCCCGGGGACUGGGAUAGCCACCCUAACGGGUGGGUAAUACCGGGCGACGUAGCGGUGGGGCAUCCUGCUGCUACCAAAUGAGAUUCGCCCCGGGAGAGGCUCACGUGGUAUUAGCUUGAUGGUGGGGUAACGGCCUACCAUGGCCAAGAUGCCUAGCAGGUGUGAGAGCACGACCUGCGCCACUGGCACUGUGACACUGGCCAGACUCCUACGGGAGGCUGCAGUCGAGGAUCUUCGGCAAUGGGCGCAAGCCUGACCGAGCGACGCCGCGUGCGCGAUGAAGGCCUUCGGGUUGUAAAGCGCUGUCGGGGGGGAGAAAAGCCCGCAAGGGCCUGAUCGACCUCCGGAGGAAGCACGGGCUAAGUUCGUGCCAGCAGCCGCGGUAAGACGAACCGUGCGAACGUUGUUCGGAAUCACUGGGCUUAAAGGGCGCGUAGGCGGGCAGCCAAGUCAGGGGUGAAAGCGUUCGGCUCAACCGGACAAGGGCCUUUGAUACUGGCGGCCUCGAGGGAGGUAGGGGCGCGUGGAACUUCCGGUGGAGCGGUGAAAUGCGUAGAUAUCGGAAGGAACGCCGGUGGCGAAAGCGGCGCGCUGGACCUCUUCUGACGCUGAGGCGCGAAAGCCAGGGGAGCAAACGGGAUUAGAUACCCCGGUAGUCCUGGCCCUAAACGAUGGGUACCAGGUAGUGGGCUUGACAUGGGCUCACUGCCGGACAAAAGUGUUCAGUACCCCGCCUGGGG